GACGAAGGUGGCGAGCGUUGUUCGGGAUUACUGGGCGUAAAGAGUGUGUAGGCGGUGCUCUAAGUUCGGUGUGAAAUCUCCUGGCUCAACUGGGAGGGUGCGCCGGAAACUGGAGUGCUUGAGCGUGGGAGAGGAAAGCGGAAUUCCUGGUGUAGCGGUGAAAUGCGUAGAUAUCAGGAGGAACACCUGUGGUGUAGACGGCUUUCUGGACCAUAGCUGACGCUGAGACACGAAAGCGUGGGUAGCAAACAGG
This 253-nucleotide ribosomal RNA is filed under the name uncultured bacterium. RNAcentral's name for it is "partial 16S ribosomal RNA". It matches the Rfam family "Bacterial small subunit ribosomal RNA", at positions 524 to 776 of the family's 1533-position model. The record is from RNAcentral.